Bos taurus (domestic cattle) is the source of this 1332-nucleotide long non-coding RNA. NCBI's taxonomy places the organism in Eukaryota, Metazoa, Chordata, Mammalia, Artiodactyla, Bovidae. The record is from Ensembl.
GGCGCCUGAGAGCGCGUGGUGGCGCCGGCGCCGGCUCCGCGCCCGUUGCCUCGGAAACCGCGCUGUGCUUCCGAGGUCGGGGUCACGACUCGCUCGGCUUCCGCAUGCGUACCCGUUGGUGCUGUGGGCGGCGCAGCGGUUGUACGCUAGGUCGGGGCCGUAUGGCGCAGUUUGGCAUGAGAGCGCUGAGAUGAUGGGGCUUGGCGCUCUGUCCACCUUACCAUCUGUCCGAUUGGGAGGAGGCCGGCGCUUCCCAGCUGGGGCUGAGCAAGGACACAGUGGAGCACAGCAAGCCCUAGGUAGAGAGGAGCCACGCUAACAUGACUGUGACGGCGACCGCCCCCCGAACUAUUCUGGAGCCUACGGAUCUUCGUAGACAGACCUGCGGUCUGGAAUGGGGCGAGAGCCCAGGGCGGCCGCCAGGGCAGGGGAGGAAGCGAGGAUGCGUCUCACGUUAAGGAAUUUGGACUCUGGAAGCCAUGUUGUUGUUUAGUCCGCCUCUUUGUGACCCCAUGAACUGCAGUAGGCCCGGCUUCCGUGUUCUUCACCGUGUCCUGGGAGUUUGCUCAAACUCAUGGCCAUUGAGUCAGUGAUCCCAUCCAACCAUCUCACCCUCUGUCUCCCCUUUCUCUUGCCCGCAGUCUCUUCCAGCAUCAGGGUCGUUUCCAAUGAGAUGGCUCUUCCGGAGCCAGUGGCCAGAGUAUUAGAGCUUCAGCUUCAGCAUCAGUCCGUAAAGAAGGCUGAGUGUUGAAGAACUGAUGCUUUUGAAUUGCGGUGCUGGAAAAGACUCUUGAGAGCCCUUUGGACUGCAUGAAAGUCAACCAGUCAGUCCUAAAGGAAAUCAACCCUGAAUAUUCAUUGGAAGGAAGCUGCCAUCUCGACCUUGUUUUGGCAGCUGCUUUGAGGCCAGUAAGGUUCAUGUUAAGGACAUGCUCCCCUGGGCUGGGAGAUAGGCAGUCUUUUGAUUAUACACGAUUCCCAUUUCUCUAGUCACAACGCCAGUCUUUUAUUUAAAGCCAGGAGAACAUUUUGGUCGCCAAGUGUGAUGACAGAAUAACUUUGAAACCAAUCUAAUUUAUUUUUAAAUACUUGGCAAACUUCAAUUAAUAAUAUCAAGUUACUUAAGGUGUAUCUCAAACCCUGUCUUUGCACAGGAGGGCUGCUGCAAGCCCCAGAGAGCUUACUUUCCAUCUGGGAAGUAAGAUGGUCAGAUAUUGUUCCUGCUGAGUCUCUUGCAGAUCAAGCAGUCAAAAAACAUUAACAAAUUGAUGGGACUUCCCUCGUGAUCCAGUGGUUCUUCCUCUACUUCUACUGCAGGGGACACAGGUUGGA